AAAAAGUUUUAUUUUGGCUUAAAUAAUUAAUAUAUUCAUUAUUAAAAUGUAAUUUUUAAAUUAAAUGGGUUUAUGCAGUUAAUAAUAUUAUAUAAAAAUAGCAAUAUUGUUAUAGAAAUGAAUAAUUAUAUUAACAUAAUUUGUGCCAGCAGUUGCGGUUACACAAUUAAUAUUUUUAAUUUUUUUUAAUUUGUAAUAAAUUUGUUUUUAUAAAUAAAUAAUAUUUAUUUUAGGUGAAAUUUAUAUAAAUAUUAAUUUUAAAAUUUAUUUUUUACUAAAUUUUUAUAUAAACUAGGAUUAGAUACCCUAUUAUUUUAAAUUUAAAUUUUAAAUUAAUUAGUAAUAGUUAAGUUCUUAAAAGUUAAAAAAUCUGGCGGUAUUAUAUAUUUAGAGGAACCUGUUCUGUAAUUGAUAAUCCACGAUUAAUUGUACUAUUUAUUUGCUUGUAUAUCGUCGUAGUUGAAUUUUUUAAAAGAAUUUAAAUUUUCUUAGUUUUAUAAUAAAAUAGAAAUCAGAUCAAGAUGCAGUUUAUUAGAUAGAAGAAAUGGGUUACAUUAAAAUUUAAUUUUAGUAUAAUAAUUUAAAUUUAUUGUUAAAUUGGAUUUAAUAGUAAUUAUAUAUAUAUAUAUAUAAUGAUUUAUAACAUAUAAUAUGCACAUAUUGCCCGUCGCUUUCAUAUAAAGUGAGAUAAGUCGUAACAUAGUAGUUGUACUGGAAAGUGUAGCUAGAAAUCA
This 734-nucleotide non-coding RNA is filed under the name Diartiger fossulatus. Lineage: Eukaryota; Metazoa; Arthropoda; Insecta; Coleoptera; Staphylinidae. The record is from RNAcentral.